This 253-nucleotide ribosomal RNA is filed under the name uncultured bacterium. Its description in RNAcentral is "partial 16S ribosomal RNA". It matches the Rfam family "Bacterial small subunit ribosomal RNA", at positions 524 to 776 of the family's 1533-position model. The record is from RNAcentral.
GACAGAGGUGCCGAGCGUUAGGCGGAAUCACUGGGCUUAAAACGUGUGUAGGCGGGCCGUUAAGUGCCCCGUGAAAUCCCCCGGCUCAACCGGGGAACGGCGGGGCAUACUGGCGGCCUUGAGACACCUAGGGGCGAGCGGAACAGGCGGUGGAGCGGUGAAAUGCGUAGAUAUCGCCUGGAACGCCGACGGUGAAAACAGCUCGCUGGGGGUGUUCUGACGCUGAGACACGAAAGCCAGGGGAGCGAACGGG